AGUGAACGCUGGCGGUAGGCCUAACACAUGCAAGUCGAACGGCAGCACAGUAAGAGCUUGCUCUUACGGGUGGCGAGUGGCGGACGGGUGAGGAAUACAUCGGAAUCUACUUUUUCGUGGGGGAUAACGUAGGGAAACUUACGCUAAUACCGCAUACGACCUACGGGUGAAAGCAGGGGAUCUUCGGACCUUGCACAAUUGAAUGAGCCGAUGUCGGAUUAGCUAGUUGGCGGGGUAAAGGCCCACCAAGGCGACGAUCCGUAGCUGGUCUGAGAGGAUGAUCAGCCACACUGGAACUGAGACACGGUCCAGACUCCUACGGGAGGCAGCAGUGGGGAAUAUUGGACAAUGGGCGCAAGCCUGAUCCAGCCAUACCGCGUGGGUGAAGAAGGCCUUCGGGUUGUAAAGCCCUUUUGUUGGGAAAGAAAAGCAGCAGGUUAAUACCCCGCUGUUCUGACGGUACCCAAAGAAUAAGCACCGGCUAACUUCGUG
This 492-nucleotide ribosomal RNA is filed under the name uncultured bacterium. Its description in RNAcentral is "partial 16S ribosomal RNA". It matches the Rfam family "Bacterial small subunit ribosomal RNA", at positions 29 to 507 of the family's 1533-position model. The record is from RNAcentral.